ACCUGUUGAACACAUAAAGCAAAGCAUGUGACUCCAUAAUUAUUAGAUUCCCACUCUGAUGAGUUGGUUGUAGGAGUAAGUAAUCCUUGAGAAAUAAUCUUUGGUUUCUGAUGUAACUGGAAGAAGGAUCUGUGGGAAGCAGGGAGAAAUUCUCUAAGAAGAUUGAACUGUGGCCACAAGAGGGUGUUGUGAGGAGCAGAAUGGCUGAUUCCAAGGCAAUGAGAUCUAAGGCCAUCAAGUGCCAUGAGAGAAAUGCUAACAUCAUCUUCAUCACUAGCUGCAACCAUUCCAAAUCCUGUACAGUUUUCUUCCCUAGACCAACAAGGGUAAACUAAGAAAAUUAGGUAAUCGGUGACUACUUUUCCUGUUUGUCGACUCUACUUAAUAAGUAGCUCUCUUCCUUUUCAGGAUGUUGAUGUUGAAUACUCAAUUUAAACAGCUCACAUGGAUAUAUUAGGGAAGACUAGAAUAAAUUUUUUCUCCUAUCCUCAGUUCUUCUAGUGAACUCCAGUUCCUACUAGAAUAAUUAUGGAUGACAACAUAACUAUUCUAGAACCAUUCCAACCCUUUAUGACCAUUACAUGUUACCUACUUACUGGAUUAACACUAUCCUGCUCAGCAUUUAUGUAGAAAAAUUAAAAAUGUGAAUGAAGAUUACAAUUGGCAAGGUUCUAUAACAAUUAUGUACCUCUCUAAAGAAUGAACAGAUAUGCCAUGUCUAUACUAUAUCUGUAAUAUUUCAUUGUAUUUUGUAUAAUUUUUAUCUAUCUUUUUCAAGUUCAUGGAUUUUCUCUUUAUCAGACUUAUUCAGGUUGUAUUACAUUGAUUGUUCAAAGUUAACUAGAAAUCAACAAAGAGGAAGUAUUUACAAUGACAAGAUUCUAGGAAGAUGUUCCUCAGUCAACAUGUUGCUUGCAGUGGUUUUGAAGGUAUGCCCACAAGUUCUUUGAAUCUCCUCCCUUCAAGAGGGCUUCUUCUGAAGGUCAUGUCUGAAGGACUGGAGGCCUGUCCUAGAAAUCGGCCCAGGCAGUUGAGCCUUCACAUCCAUUGACAAAUCUUCCUCAAGUCUUCAUUGAUGCAUCUUGCUCAAAUGCCAGAACUCCCUGCUACCGUUCUGUUGCUGACUAUUUGCCUAGUGGAACCUGACUGUAUUUUUUGGAAAGUCUACUUACCUGACAACAUGAACCCCAGCUGAGCAUAUGCAUCAGGGUCCAGCUCCUCUGUGGGUGGUUUAUUGUCAGGUCCUAUCCCCUCAUAUGAGCCUGUUCCGAUGGCAGUAAUUGACAUGCUCUACCAAAUCUCAAUAAUAACGACUUAACAUCUGUUAAUAUCUUAUUAA
Canis lupus familiaris (dog) is the source of this 1339-nucleotide long non-coding RNA. RefSeq lists it as uncharacterized. The record is from RefSeq and is a predicted model, not a curated record. Lineage: Eukaryota; Metazoa; Chordata; Mammalia; Carnivora; Canidae. The transcript is spliced from 3 exons.